CUCCGUAGGGGGAACCUGCGGAGGGAUCAUUAUUGAGCUUCAGCUCUAUAACCCUUUGUGAACAUACCUAACCGUUGCUUCGGCGGGCAGGGGAAGCCUCUCGCGGGCCUCCCCUCCCGGCGCCGGCCCCACCACGGGGACGGGGCGCCCGCCGGAGGAAACCAAACUCUAUUUACACGACGUCUCUUCUGAGUGGCACAAGCAAAUAAUUAAAACUUUUAACAACGGAUCUCUUGGUUCUGGCAUCGAUGAAGAACGCAGCGAAAUGCGAUAAGUAAUGUGAAUUGCAGAAUUCAGUGAAUCAUCGAAUCUUUGAACGCACAUUGCGCUCGCCAGCAUUCUGGCGAGCAUGCCUGUUCGAGCGUCAUUUCAACCCUCAAGCACCGCUUGGUUUUGGGGCCCCACGGCACACGUGGGCCCUUAAAGGUAGUGGCGGACCCUCCCGGAGCCUCCUUUGCGUAGUAACUAACGUCUCGCACUGGGAUUCGGAGGGACUCUUGCCGUAAAACCCCCCAAUUUUUUACAGGUUGACCUCGGAUCAG
Molecule: ribosomal RNA, 542 nt
Filed under: Colletotrichum sp. 1 ONH-2014
Lineage: Eukaryota; Fungi; Ascomycota; Sordariomycetes; Glomerellales; Glomerellaceae
Description: eukaryotic LSU rRNA
Rfam family: 5.8S ribosomal RNA (bases 214-367)
Source: RNAcentral